This is a long non-coding RNA of Calliphora vicina (urban bluebottle blowfly), 911 nucleotides long. RefSeq lists it as uncharacterized. The record is from RefSeq and is a predicted model, not a curated record. Lineage: Eukaryota; Metazoa; Arthropoda; Insecta; Diptera; Calliphoridae. The transcript is spliced from 5 exons.
AAAAUAAAUGCAAUGAAUAUUUCUUCAGAUAGUUCUCAGAAGUUAAAAUUUGUUUCUGUAAAUGAAAUUUUAGCGAACACGUUUAAUGGCAAGGAAAUCCUUAAAUUUUAUGCGAAAAAUGACAUUUUACAUGAGGAACAACGAAAUAUACUAAUUACAACUAUUGCUAAAUAUAUGGAAGCUAAUGGGAUAGCUUGUUCCAUUUCAGACUGUGCUGAUAUUGAAAGGCAGAUAUGCGUAAUUUUUCCGUCCGAACAAAUUGAAUUUUACUCGAAUGGUAAACGAGGCAAAAUCUAUUAUCUAGGCUUUCCAAAGACAUAUUCAAAGAAAAAUCAUCACCAGAAGACGAUGAAGUGAUAGAAGAAAAUAUGGCCGUCGCAUUGCAAUAUUUAAGGUUGCCUUCAAUUACAGCAGACGAGUUUGACCUAUACUGGCGAAAAUGUGCUAAUUAUCGUUUUCAGCAAAUUACGGAAUCAAAAAAUACUGCCGACAUUUUUCAACUCUGGCCUGAAUACAAAAAGCCGUCUGGUUCACUUCUGAUCAAUAUAGAUUUUGAACUUAAAUUUCCUAUUGCAAAAAAAUUUAACGAAAGAUGGUCAAACUAUGGAGAAAAGGUUAUCUAUUUGCUUCAGACUAAAAUUACCUGUUCAGCUAUUUCAAAAAAAAUGCAGCAAAUAAAUUCGUUAAAUGAAGAAUCUAAAAUUUUAACAACACUUUGGAAUAUUCAUCAUUUAUUCCCCCCAACACAAAAAGUCACCUCAGACGAAAGUGGGGCCAAAGUACGAAAAAAGUUCUCUGUACCAGAUUCGCAGCAAAGUUUUGCAAUUUUGGCGGAAACUGAAGAAGAAAUCAACAUUAAAUUGAAACUUCUCGUACUUCAAGGGCGUAGUAUCCAGCCAAAGUUAUUAAUU